RNAcentral lists this ribosomal RNA (534 nucleotides) under Triticum aestivum (bread wheat). Its description in RNAcentral is "partial small subunit ribosomal RNA". The record is from RNAcentral. Lineage: Eukaryota; Viridiplantae; Streptophyta; Magnoliopsida; Poales; Poaceae.
AUGACUAAAAGGGAAGUUCAACAGAGAGCUACUGCUGUUAACAGGCCGACACAAUGGCAGCCUCCGUCUGCAAGUUGUGUCAAGAUCAAUGUUGAUGCCGCCACCCCCAGGCAUGCGCGAUAUGGAGCUGUGGGGGCGAUUUGCAGGAGUUCAAAAGGAGUGUUUCUGGGGGCGUCCGUGCUGGCAGUGAAGCACAUAGCUGAUCCACAGAUUCUUGAAGCCAUUGCUAUAAGGGAGGGUUUGGCGCUAGUUGAUGACCUCUAUCAGAGGCGAGUUCAUGUUGCUUCGGACUGCAAAAAUGUGGUGGAGGAUCUAAAGAAGGAGAAUGCAUCAUCUUAUGGAGCCAUAGUGCAUGAAAUAAUAGAUCACUCGUUAGCUUUUGAUUUAUGUAAUUUUUCCCAUGAAUUUAGGAGCUCAAUUUUUUAAGCUCACAACCUAGCGAAGCACGCUCUGUCGCUCGGGAUUGGCCGCCAUGUGUGGUUGGGUCAUCCUGGAGACCUUACUUUCGUCCCUGUAAAUAUUGUGACGACUUAA